Molecule: non-coding RNA, 224 nt
Organism: Pelobates cultripes (western spadefoot toad)
Lineage: Eukaryota; Metazoa; Chordata; Amphibia; Anura; Pelobatidae
Source: the annotation of a GenBank genome assembly
GUUAAUUUGGUAGCCAGAUAUUUCCGAGUCUGGUCCUAUUAAUUUUUCUAAAUAUGGGUUCAGUCUGUUUGUCAUCAAAAAAAAAAAAAAAAACAACUUUCGUCAUCAGUUUGAGGUCUAUGUUUAGCAGGAAAAUGGGGCGGUAUUGGCCGGGUUUGUCUUGGGGGUUUUCAGGUUUGGGUUCGAAGGUGAUGUAUGCUUGGGUCAUGUCUGGUGGAAGAGGG